AGGAAGGUGGCGCAGUAGGCAGCCCGGAAAGGGAGCCAGGUCCCAAAGCCCGCCGAAAGGAGGGAGAAGAGUCAGGGGAGUCAGCGUCAGCGUCAGAGGAAUCCCGGAAGGAAGAGACCCCGGGGGGGCAGAGGGACCCAGAGAAGAACAGUCAGGCGGAAAAGGUGGAGCAGGGCUAGGAUAUUAAGUUGGUGUACAAGGGGCGGAGACUCAGACGGAGCUUCGCCGGUCUAAGCAUGAGACGUAGAGUUGCACGCAGCAGCUUGAGAAUGGAAACUGUAACUCAAUAAAGACUUUUGUUUAAUGAUCGCUGGCUAGCGUGAUCCUCUGUGAGCUAGGAUCUGGAAGCAGCUCUGACAGUAAGCUCCGUCUCCUAAAUUGUGGGCAUCUACGGCCUCGCGGAGAGGAGAGAAAGCGGGUGCCUACUAGCGAGCUCACGAACGGCAGACAAUAUGACGGCCGAACAGCAGAUAGCGGAACUCAGAGAAGCAGUGUCACGACUGAAUGCCGAGGCUCUUGCAUCCAGGAAGAGAGAGGAGGACGCAGCUGCCGCCUACAGGGAUCUCCAGGUCAGGUUGGAAGUGCUUACGAAGCAAGGGCAACUGACACCCAAACCGGAGGGGAUUGGGUUGGGGAGACGAACAGGCGGUCUGGUCUCUCACUUCGAUGGGAAUUUGCAACAGUACCCCAACUUUAGAGCAGAUGUAAUGUGUGCACUGCAACUGCUGAACAAAGACUUUAGAGAUGAGCAAGAGAAGGUGGGAUUCAUCAUGUCCCAUUUGCAUGGAGAUGCUAAAGCAUGGCUGCGCAAUUUGUGGAGAGAUAAGGAUCCGGCGCUCCAAAAUGCGGAUGCCUUUAUUAAAGCGAUGGAUGGGUGCUUUUUAUCAAGCAUUGACGUGGAUCUUGCUCGGCAGCAGAUACAUGGACUGAAGCAAGGGAGGGCCAGCGUAAGGCAGUACCAUGCCCGCUUUUCGCUUUGGUCAGUGCUCUGGAAUGGGACAGAGAUUCGGCUCCUGUAAGAGACCUGUUUUGGGAGGGAUUGCACGGCUCGGUUAAAGAUGAAAUUGCGAGAGGGGAGAGACCCCGGACCACGCAGGAGAUCGUUCAGAGGGCGCUGGCGGUGGGGGUGCGGCUGGAAGAACGUCCGUGGAGCAGGGACGAAGGGCGUGGAGGGCGCGAACCAGCCAGGGGCUCCUCCUUCCUUCCCAGAGAAGCAGCGCGUGCGCAAUCCACGCCUCCGCCAGGAGGAGGAGCGGAACCUAUGGAGGUUGGAGGUGCAAGGGCUCAGUCAGCAGCCAGAGCCCUAGCACCGGCAGCAGUGAAAGCGAAGCCUCCUAGAGGGAACAGGAAGUGUUACAUCUGCGAUGAUCCACAGCAUAUGGCGAAAGAGUGUCCCCAGAGGCUCCACAAGCACACUGCAGCCUCAGCAAUGGUAACUGCAGCAACGCAGCAAGGAGAACCACGGCAGGGAAACGACGGAGUCUGGCUGGAGAAAGAGGCACUGGGGCCCAGCCAGACGUGUCAGUGAAGCAGUCCCCAGAGAUUUUACAGCCCAUGGACCCCCUCCCGCCCAAACCAGUAGUGAGGCUCACCGCGUCGCUCCAGCUGCCCAAUGGCAUCACCAUGGACGUGCCAAUCACCAUUGACUCCGGAAGCAAUGCGGACUUUAUAGGGCAGGACUUUGUCGACCGGCACGCUAUACAGUUGCUGCCUGCCACGCUGCCCCUGCAGGUUGUCACGGUGGAUGGCAGGGAGCUGCUAGGGGGGCAAGUGGUGAAGCAGACGCCACCAAUGGUGAUGAGACUUGGGAAUCACAGGGAAAUCAUCAGCUUCAAUGUCACUCAACUAUCGGACACGCCCAUUGUAUUGGGCAUGAGUUGGCUGGACAAGCACAGCCCGACGCUGGCUUGGUACCAGAGGCAGCUGACCUUCGGCUCUUCCUUUUGCGCUGAACACUGCAUCGUGCCCCGGCAGGAAGGAGAGGAAGAGGAGUCACAGCUGCAGCUCGGCACGCUGCAAGCGGUUCCCCACAAGUACGCAGCAUUUUGGAGGUUUUCUGUGAGAAGGAGGCAGACAGGCUACCCCCCCACAGACCAUAUGACUGCAAAAUUGACCUGCUGCCGGGGGCGGCGCUGCCCAAAGGGAAGUUGUAUUCCAUGUCUGAGGACGAACUGCAGGAACUCAAAGAGUUCAUAGAUCAUAAUUUGGAGCGCGGUUUCAUCCGAGAGUCCACGGCAGCGGGGGGCAGUCCGGUAUUCUUUGUUAAGAAGAGGGACACGCCCCAAAAAAGACUUGUAGUGGACUAUCGCAUUUUGAACAGCGUGACCAAGCCAUCGGACUUCCCCAUGCCCCGAAUCGACGACCUCCUCGCGAAGGUACGGAAGGGCAGCGUGUUCACCAAGUUGGACCUGCGAGGGGCGUACAACCUCAUUCGCAUGCGGGAAGGAGAUGAGUGGAAGACAGCCAUGUUCACGCCCCUGGGCACCUACGAAUAUAGAGUUAUGCCUUUUGGAUUGCAAAAUGGUUCCCACGUUUUUCAAGCUUUCAUGCAUCACGUGUUGGCGGGGCUCCUCUACAAGACGUGCGUCUGUUUCUUGGAUGACAUCCUGAUCUUUUCGGAAUCGCAGCAGGAGCAUGACAGGCACGUCAAAGAAGUGCUGAGCAGGCUACAGCAACAUAGGCUUUACGCCAAGCUGGAGAAGUGCCAAUUCGACGUGACGGAGGUGGAUUUCCUGGGCUACAAGUUGUCUGAUAAAGGGCUCGCCAUGGACAGCACCAAGGUCCGAGCAGUGUUGGAUUGGAAAAGCCCACGCAACCGGAAGGAGGUCCAACGGUUUGUCGGCUUUGCGAACUUCUAUCGCAAGUUUAUCAAAGGCUUUGCCAUGCAGACAGCGGCCAUCACGGACACGCUCAGCUCCAAGAAAAGAAGUUCAUCUGGACAGAGCAGGCGGAGCAGUCCUUUCAGGCACUCAAGCGUCUCUUCGCGUCGGAAGAGCAACUGCUUCAUGUCAACCCCAGCAGGCCGAUGAGGGUGGAGACAGACGCUUCGGACAGAGCCGUGGGAGCAGUCCUGCUGCAGAAGGACCCGCAGGGGGUUUGGAGGCCGGGAGCGUUUUACUCAAGGAAGCUCAGCAAGUCCGAACAGAACUACACCAUCUGGGACAGGGAGUUGCUGGCCAUUCAUGCAGCGUUCAAAGCGUGGAGGCACUUCCUGAUCGGCGCCAAGCACACGGUGCAGGUCUGCACGGACCACAAGAAUCUAGAGCACUGGCGCACGGCACAGUUCCUGAACCAGAGGCAGAUACGUUGGGCUGAGUUCUUUGCGAAUUUCGACUUCCGAAUAGAGUAUGUCCCGGGGACACCAACAUCAUGGCGGAUGCUCUCUCCCGUAAGCCACAGUAUUUGGAGGAGGCAACGCCAGCGGCCGCCAUGCACAUCUUCGCACCGACAGUGUGGGCGUGCACGGCGGCGACAGUUGACCUGGAGGCGGUGCGACGAGCGUUGCAGGAUGACUCCUUCGCGCAAGCAAAGAUGGCAGAGGCGCACAGGGGCACGGCAGCGACCGACGAGUUCCAGCUGCGAGAUGGUUUGCUCAUCCGUAAAGGGGCCAUCUACGUGCCGGGAGACGAACUUCGCGCCAAGGUACUGCAGCAGCUGCACGACGCGCCCACUGCCGGGCACUUUGGCAAGGAGAAAACGGUGGAAUUAGUAGCCAGAGACUUCUGGUGGCCAGGAAUGAGAGGGGAAGUCGCGGACUACGUGGCGAGGUGUGACACCUGCCAGAGGGCCAAACCAGUGCACAGACCGCCGGCCGGACUGCUGGAACCGCUGCAAACUCCGUUCGAACCAUGGGAGAGAGUGGCCCUGGACUUUGUCACGGAUCUGCCCAGCUCGAGGGGCAAGACGGCUGUGCUGGUGGUGGUGGACUUGUUCUCCAAGAUGGCACAUUUCAUUCCGUGUGCGAAGGUGGCCACGGCGGAACAAACCGCCAAACUGUUCAUAGACCACGUGUUCAAGGUUCACGGUCUGCCGCGGUCUAUUCUGUCCGACCGAGGGCGACAGUUCAUCUCGAACUUCUGGCAGAGGCUGAUGGGCUUCCUGAACGUCAAGAUCAACCUGGCGUCGGCUAGACACCCGCAGACCAAUGGGCAAGCGGAGCGGGUCAAUGCCAUCAUGCAGCAGUACCUGAGAUGUUAUGCGAAUCAACAGCCUGCGACGUGGGUGGAUUACCUGCCUCUCGCCGAGUUUGCCUACAACAACACGAAGCACGUGUCCACGGGGGUCACGCCGUUCUUCGCCAACAACGGGAGGCACCCCAGAACCUUCCCGGGACUGGAAAGAAUGGGGAGGGGAGCCGCAGACAGCAGAUGCAUUCGCGUCGGAGUUGCAGGAGGUCCACGAUCAGCUGCGGCGGCACCUGGAGCUGGCUAAACACGCAUACAAGGUACAAGCGGACAAACACAGAAGGGUUGGCGAAGAGAUCCAUGUGGGAGACUGGGUCUGGUUAGCAGCCCACGCAGUGCCGGCCAGGUCGUUGGCGAAGAAGAAACUAGGGCAUAAACAACUGGGGCCCUACCAAGUCGAAGAACAGGUCAACCCGGUGGCUUUCAGGCUGGCUCUUCCGGAGGGUUCCAGAAUGCAUCCGGUGUUCCACAGAUCGGUGCUCACUCCCUACAAGGCACCUCACAGGUUUCAGGAACCAGGAACGGCACCGGGUCCGCUCCGAGAGAGAACCGGGCAGGGGGGAGUGGCACGGGAGGAGCGCAUCAACGAAGUCACGGAGAUUUUGGACUCCAGAUGGGGGGAGAGGGGGUAGAAUACCUUCUCGCCAAGGAGGGCACCCCGGCCAGUGCCAACAGCUGGGUGCCGGGCUACGCUUUAGACGAACCUCUGCUCAAAGAAGAGUUUCAUGCCCUCUUCCCACAUAGGCCAAUGCCAGCAGACUUUUCGACGACUGGCUUUUCACGCCCACGCUUUCAGCCAGCACGUUCCGGGGUUCGACUCGGACGAGGAACCGACACGAGACGCCCGUUCCCCGGAGGGGUCACCCUCAGGAUCUGCUUCAGAACCCUCGUAUUGGUGGGAUGAUCGACCAGAGGAGCAGUUCCGUAGAAGGUGGCUGGAGGGUCCAGGACGAGCAACGUCUCCAGAAGGCAACGAGGAGAGACGGACAUGGACUUUUCGGGGACGACCCGGGUUUCGAGCACGGCGGCACAGAGAUGGAAGCGGAGGUGACCGUCGUCAACGAGAGCAGGGAGGAAGAACCGGAAGACUUCAGAUGGCGGCCCGCCACGGGAAGCGAACUGUAUCCGACAUUCGUCCCCUGACACGGCAGCACCCAGAUCCCGCACCGGAAGGAGGGGAGGGGGAAGAGGGGGCUUCGAGGGGGAUGGAUGUCAGGGGUUCAGGAGCAGAGGCAAGGGCAAGGGAGGAAACAGAGAGCGAGGGGAGGAGGCAGAAGAAAAGAUGAGUGAUGACGACGACCCGAGAUCUCCGAGUCUUUCCAGUGAAUCAGAAGAUUCACAGAAAGGAGCACCAGUGGCCAGGGCAAGGGGGAGCCUAGGGGACACCCCAGGAAGAUAGAGCCAGAGGGGACUCAGAGGGGAGCAGUUGGAAAUCGGGACCAACGUCACCGCCAGAGAGCAGGGAAGAGGAAGGGCACCAGGGAUCAAGCGCUGGCAACUCACAACAGGGGGGAGGGCACGAGUCAGGAGUGGCCACACCUCCAUCGGGGAGCGAAGAAACGGUCAGACGGAAGGUGGAAGGUUGGGCGCGCGCGCCAAGUUCAAAUGCACAGGAAGGUGGCGCAGUAGGCAGCCCGGAAGGGAGCCAGGUCCCAAAGCCCGCCGAAAGGAGGGAGAAGAGUCAGGGGAGUCAGCGUCAGCGUCAGAGGAAUCCCGGAAGGAAGAGACCCCGGGGGGCAGAGGGACCCAGAGAAGAACAGUCAGGCGGAAAAGGUGGAGCAGGGCUAGGAUAUUAAGUUGGUGUACAAGGGGCGGAGACUCAGACGGAGCUUCGCCGGUCUAAGCAUGAGACGUAGAGUUGCACGCAGCAGCUUGAGAAUGGAAACUGUAACUCAAUAAAGACUUUUGUUUAAUGAUCGCUGGCUAGCGUGAUCCUCUGUGAGCUAGGAUCUGGAAGCAGCUCUGACACAUACGCUUCAGGUUAC
This 6169-nucleotide long non-coding RNA is filed under the name Podarcis lilfordi (Lilford's wall lizard). The record is from RNAcentral. Lineage: Eukaryota; Metazoa; Chordata; Lepidosauria; Squamata; Lacertidae.